This is a long non-coding RNA of Etheostoma spectabile (orangethroat darter), 146 nucleotides long. RefSeq lists it as uncharacterized. The transcript is spliced from 3 exons. The record is from RefSeq and is a predicted model, not a curated record. Lineage: Eukaryota; Metazoa; Chordata; Actinopteri; Perciformes; Percidae.
UGAGUCAGUAACCCACUGGCGUAACACUCCGCAUCAACUUCCCUGUCGGCGUCCGUCUUGGACCAGAGCCAGCCCUUAAAGGAACAGUUUGACAUUUUGGGAAAUGUGCUUAUUUGUUGUUUCUUGUAAGUAAAUUAGAAGGUCAG